Molecule: ribosomal RNA, 24 nt
Filed under: Phylloscopus nitidus
Lineage: Eukaryota; Metazoa; Chordata; Aves; Passeriformes; Phylloscopidae
Also listed under: 4 other names
Description: partial 12S ribosomal RNA
Source: RNAcentral
AAAGACUUAGUCCUAACCUUACCG